This 730-nucleotide ribosomal RNA is filed under the name uncultured bacterium. RNAcentral describes it as "bacterial SSU rRNA". It matches the Rfam family "Bacterial small subunit ribosomal RNA", at positions 69 to 792 of the family's 1533-position model. The record is from RNAcentral.
AGAACGGCUCUAGCUUGCUAGAGUGUCAGCUAAGUGGCGGACGGGUGAGUAACGCAUAGGUGUACGUACCUUGUAGUCUGGGAUAACAGUUGNAAACGACUGCUAAUACCGCAUAACGUCUACGGACCAAAGGGGGCUUCGGCUCUCGCCCUUAGAUUAGCCCAAGUGGGAUUAGCUAGUUGGUGAGGUAAUGGCUCACCAAGGCGACGAUCCCUAGCUGGUUUGAGAGGAUGAUCAGCCACACUGGAACUGAGACACGGUCCAGACUCCUACGGGAGGCAGCAGUGGGGAAUAUUGCACAAUGGGCGCAAGCCUGAUGCAGCCAUGCCGCGUGUGUGAAGAAGGCCUUAGGGUUGUAAAGCACUUUCAGUAAGGAGGAAAGGUUAGUAGUUAAUACCUGCUAGCUGUGACGUUACUUACAGAAGAAGCACCGGCUAACUCCGUGCCAGCAGCCGCGGUAAUACGGAGGGUGCGAGCGUUAAUCGGAAUUACUGGGCGUAAAGCGUACGCAGGCGGUUUGUUAAGCGAGAUGUGAAAGCCCCGGGCUCAACCUGGGAACUGCAUUUCGAACUGGCAAACUAGAGUAUGAUAGAGGGUGGUAGAAUUUCAGGUGUAGCGGUGAAAUGCGUAGAGAUCUGAAGGAAUACCGAUGGCGAAGGCAGCCACCUGGGUCAAUACUGACGCUCAUGUACGAAAGCGUGGGGAGCAAACGGGAUUAGAUACCCUGGUA